UAGGGGACACACAAACCUCAGUUCCAUUUAUAGUAACCCAACUUUAUUAUGACUCGGAUAGGAUACAAAAGCAUCAAAAGCUAUCUAGUGGGAUGACACCAUAAUAAUACAUGCGCAUUCAAGAUCUCUGCCUUUCAUUUAGUAGCUCUAGGAAUAGAAAUGAGCUCACAUUUUCGACUUCGUUUGCUAACACUAGAGCAGUGUUUGAAGUUCAGUUUUAACUUCUUUUUUCCACAAGAUAUAUCAAUUAAAUUCGGAUAAGGGUGAGUUUUACGAAACAGGACAGGUGAUCCGGUCAGAUUUUAUUGCUUGCCCUUUUGGCUUUUAUUUCAUUAAUCGCUUUAACUAAGGAACCCAAAUCGUUGUCUGAAGUUCCACCAUUGACUGCAUUCAGGGCUGCUUCACUUUAACAUCUUGGCUCCACUCCUCUCUCCUCUGCUCCCAUCGAGUGACUCCACCAACAAUCGAACUGCGAUUGAGUUAGCGGUGAGUAAGGUCAAGAAAAGGGAUGAAAUGGGCGGACGCCGGAAUUGGAUACACCAGAAUAUGUUGGCCGGCUGUGGACAUUGCUUUAGUGUUUUAGAGUUGAGAGUGUGAGAAUUGACGUUCAAAUUGUAGAGUAUAGAACCACUUUUAUGUGAUUG
RNAcentral lists this long non-coding RNA (644 nucleotides) under Gossypium barbadense (sea-island cotton). Its description in RNAcentral is "long non-coding RNA (GBAR_LNC002097)". Lineage: Eukaryota; Viridiplantae; Streptophyta; Magnoliopsida; Malvales; Malvaceae. The record is from RNAcentral.